RNAcentral lists this unclassified non-coding RNA (239 nucleotides) under soil metagenome. RNAcentral describes it as "partial internal transcribed spacer 1". The record is from RNAcentral.
CCAAUGAUUGGGAACCAGUUGAGGUUGAUAGGUCUCCUGGUUGCUAAAAUCAAAUACCCAUCUUUGUGCACCUUUUUUAUGUCUCUGGUGGUCGCAAGAGAAGUCUCUUAUUUGGAGGAUCUCUUCUAGUUCAUUUUGAUCCUCGGACAAAUGAAUGAAGCCACCAAAUGGUUGCUAUAACACACUUUUUUGCCGUCCAAAAUAUCUGUCUAACAUUGAUUUGUGUAAAAUACAUAAAA